This 427-nucleotide ribosomal RNA is filed under the name uncultured Klebsiella sp. Its description in RNAcentral is "bacterial SSU rRNA". It matches the Rfam family "Bacterial small subunit ribosomal RNA", at positions 353 to 772 of the family's 1533-position model. The record is from RNAcentral. Lineage: Bacteria; Pseudomonadati; Pseudomonadota; Gammaproteobacteria; Enterobacterales; Enterobacteriaceae.
AGUGGGGAAUAUUGCACAAUGGGCGCAAGCCUGAUGCAGCCAUGCCGCGUGUGUGAAGAAGGCCUUCGGGUUGUAAAGCACUUUCAGCGGGGAGGAAGGCGAUAAGGUUAAUAACCUUGUCGAUUGACGUUACCCGCAGAAGAAGCACCGGCUAACUCCGUGCCAGCAGCCGCGGUAAUACGGAGGGUGCAAGCGUUAAUCGGAAUUACUGGGCGUAAAGCGCACGCAGGCGGUCUGUCAAGUCGGAUGUGAAAUCCCCGGGCUCAACCUGGGAACUGCAUUCGAAACUGGCAGGCUAGAGUCUUGUAGAGGGGGGUAGAAUUCCAGGUGUAGCGGUGAAAUGCGUAGAGAUCUGGAGGAAUACCGGUGGCGAAGGCGGCCCCCUGGACAAAGACUGACGCUCAGGUGCGAAAGCGUGGGGAGCAAA